AACGUAGGUCCCGAGCGUUAUCCGGAUUUACUGGGCGUAAAGCGUGUUCAGGCGGUCUAGCAAGUCGGGCAUGAAAUCUCUCGGCUCAACCGGGAGGGGUUGUCCGAUACUGCUGGGCUUGAGGGCAGCAGAGGGUGGUGGAAUUCCGGGUGUAGUGGUGAAAUGCGUAGAUAUCCGGAGGAACACCAGUGGCGAAGGCGGCCACCUGGGCUGUACCUGACGCUCAAACACGGAAGCUAGGGGAGCGAACGGG
RNAcentral lists this ribosomal RNA (253 nucleotides) under uncultured bacterium. Its description in RNAcentral is "partial 16S ribosomal RNA". It matches the Rfam family "Bacterial small subunit ribosomal RNA", at positions 524 to 776 of the family's 1533-position model. The record is from RNAcentral.